CAGCUGGCUCUCAGUGCUCCUGAAUUCUGCACUAUGGGAAAUUCACUUUGCUUUUCCCUAGCCCAGGGACUGAGCCUCUGCUACCACCACAAGGUUUUUUAGAGCUCUGAGUGCCUCUCCGAAGCCAUUGAAGCCAUCGAGGAGGCUUUUAGAGGACCCGCACUUUCCCUUUUAACUCAAUUAAGCCAUCAGGAUCCUGUUCCCACUCCAGCGAGUGGGUCCGGUACACGGAGAUGUGACCCACAGUGUCCAAAUAAUAUUCCAUCUUCUGGGCCUGGAGAUCCAACUCAGGACCUUACACAAGCUAAAAGAGUGUUCCGCUGAGUGACCUCUUUUUGUUUUCAAAUGAAGAGGAGCCAAGAAUAGGAUGGCUUGGGAAGGUGAGCUGCGUAUAACUCAUCAGGCUGAGCUCAUCCUCGUCUAUGGCCAAAUGUUGGUUUCUCGUUUCUAGAAGAUGAAAGAUGUGAUGACUUAGGAAAAAGCCAUUCCUCUGCUUACUGUUGCUGUUGGAGAUGUGAGUCCUCAGAUGUUUCUGCCACCAUAACGACAGCUGCUGCCAAGAUUCCCUGAUGGGAUGGACUCUUAAUGUCUCUACAACCAGAAGCCCAAAUAAACUCUUUUGACACAAUAGAAUUCAAAUCCAACCAUACGGCAGAAAGACCCCACUACAAGGCAACCAACGUUUAAAACACAAGCAAACCCAGAGGCUGAAAAUAGAAAUGCUGAUAAGUGAAUGUGUUUAAGACAUUUGUGCGAAUGAAGAAGAUGGCAACAAGCAGACAAACACUGCAAACAGCGCCAAAGACAAAUGGAACGGAGGGGAAUUGUUCUCUCCCCGACAGCAAACAUGCUGAUGCAUUGUGCAAGGAGGUGGGCAAGGAAUGUGAACAAAUACUUCACAUACUAAAAAAAAGAAAGAAUGGUAUUGAGUAUGGUGGUGCACACCUUUGAUCCCAGCACUUGGGGGAGGUAGAGGCAGGUGGGUCUCUGACUUCGAGGCUAGCCAGGGCUGCACCUUGCGAACCCAUUCCACAAAACAAUGACAAACCAAAUAAACAAAAAAGUAGGAAUGGUCAAAAUUACUUGGAAAAAAAACAAGUACUCAUCUUCAUAAGUGCUUAGAAAAAUGAAAGCAUAACACAUGCCCAUGUUUCUAUGAGUGACAGAUACUUGAAGUUCAAUAAGAUAUGGUUUUUUAGCAAAGUUAUAGUAAACGUACACUGUUGAUGGCCGUUGAAUCUGAGAGUGUGGACAGGUUACAAUUUAGAAGCAUCCCAUUGUGUGUGUGGCACUGGGUUUGAACCUAGGGCCUUGCACGUGCUGGGUGAAUAAGUGCUGUUGCUGAGAGUCAGCUCUGCUGUUCUCAUCUUGAAUGCACACAUAUUAUGUUCCAGUCAUAAUUUAUUCUUUCAGGUAAUUUAUUCUGUGGAUAAAGUCACUACAGAGGUUCCUAAAGUCACGAAUGUAAGGUUAUUCAUGGAAGCAUUGUUUAUUAUAAUAAUAACAGGGGAAAGUGGAAAGAAUUUAAAUGUCGGUUAAUUAGGCCAAUGGUUGGCUUUAUGGCUUGUCUAGUGGCGAAAAGAUGUCCAUGUGUUAACGUGGAAAGUUGCUGAUAUACUGUUAGAUACAACAUAAAGGGUACUGUAUAUAAUUUACUCUGCAUAGAGGUGUUGUAUUCAGGCUGGAGAGAUGGC
This is a long non-coding RNA of Grammomys surdaster, 1694 nucleotides long. RefSeq lists it as uncharacterized. The transcript is spliced from 6 exons. Lineage: Eukaryota; Metazoa; Chordata; Mammalia; Rodentia; Muridae. The record is from RefSeq and is a predicted model, not a curated record.